CUUGAUUAAGUUUUUUGUUGCCACUGAUCACAGAAAGUCUAUAAUUCUGAAAUCAUAUAUAAGCACUUCUGCACUUAUGAGCAAGCCAGAAAAUGACAAACAGUUGGCUUUGUUAUAUCAGUUCAGCAUUGAGAAGAUUGAGGUGGUUUUUAUUACAAACCAAAGUGGUUACUUACAAAUAAAACAUGUGACUUUAUUAAUUUUAAUUCACGAUUGAGUAUUUUCGUAUAGUAGUUUUUUUUCAUUAAAAGGAUUAAAAGAACAUCAAUUGAUGAACAUUUGUCUCAUCACAAUUUGUGUUUUGAACUUAACGAAGUGCAUUGUGAAAACAGUAAACUUAUGUUAAUCCAUCUCAGUCUUCUCUUUGUUCAAGUGGACUUUCAGUGUUUGUUGAAAGUUUGGAAAGUUUAUCUGAAAAUCACAAUCACUAAUGUUUUUUUCGAUGUUGAUUCUGGA
Molecule: long non-coding RNA, 456 nt
Filed under: Paramuricea clavata
Lineage: Eukaryota; Metazoa; Cnidaria; Anthozoa; Malacalcyonacea; Plexauridae
Source: RNAcentral